UACCACAGUUCCAACUGAUGAGGGCGAAACUAAAAUUGCAAGGCGCAGAGGCCCUACUAAGAUGAAUUCUGUUUUCACAAGAAGAUUAGAAGACAGACCAGAGUUGACCCUGAAUCAUGAGUUGCAGCCAGUGCAUGAAAAUAGUAAAAUAAGAUCGGAAUUUGGUAGUUUCUUGGGGACAAUUGGAAGACAAUGUGUGCCCCUAGAUUAUGUGAACUGGAGCCGAGUUCCCGAAGGAGAGAAGAUUGGCUGGUGGGAGUUUGUCAAGACAAAGUAUAUCAUUCCAGAGGAGGGAAAAGAUUGGGUUCUAAAGACCAUCUGUGAUGCAUGGAGGAUGCACAAAAGCCGUU
Long non-coding RNA from Daucus carota subsp. sativus, 350 nucleotides. RefSeq lists it as uncharacterized. The record is from RefSeq and is a predicted model, not a curated record. NCBI's taxonomy places the organism in Eukaryota, Viridiplantae, Streptophyta, Magnoliopsida, Apiales, Apiaceae. The transcript has 3 exons.